UCGUGUGACCAGUAUGAGUUUAGGGUUUCUUUAUGAGAAAUGGGAAAUGGACACGUUGAAUGCAAAAAACGCCUAGCAGUUUAUGGUUUGAUGAAAACGGUGCCUGAAAAACGACGUCGGUUUUUCGACAAAUCAAAUAUAUUGAUAUCAUAAAGAGUUUGCCAAAUGUAACCAUUUCAAUAUUAUUAUUGAUCCAAAUUUAGGAUUUUGUAACAAUUAAGUGGAGAGCAACCAGCUAUUGUUCCUCUCCCAAGGACAUGUUCUUAUGCGUUACUCACUUUUCCGCCGCUAGGUAGAAAUAUUACUUUCUGUCCGUCUUAAAUUUCUCCACGGAAAUCUAAUAGUAUAAAGAAAUUAAUAAGUUUUUUUUUGUCAUCUGGUAGAUUUAUAUUAACUUGAACAAGAGAGUACACAAAGCCAGCAAAGGUGAUCAGACCUUUCUGGAGCCAUAAGCCGGUGAGCUGAUGGAAACCAUCCGGAGACACAGGUUGGUACAAACAUUGAAACCAGAAACUAGAGUAAAAGAUGAAAGAAAAGUUGAGGAGGAGCCAGGAGGAGUUACAUGAUACUCCUUU
RNAcentral lists this long non-coding RNA (575 nucleotides) under Brassica napus (rape). RNAcentral describes it as "long non-coding RNA (BNAP_LNC002187)". The record is from RNAcentral. Lineage: Eukaryota; Viridiplantae; Streptophyta; Magnoliopsida; Brassicales; Brassicaceae.